RNAcentral lists this long non-coding RNA (1330 nucleotides) under Sitophilus oryzae (rice weevil). RNAcentral describes it as "uncharacterized LOC115878778, transcript variant X2". The record is from RNAcentral. Lineage: Eukaryota; Metazoa; Arthropoda; Insecta; Coleoptera; Curculionidae.
UUCAAGAAAUAUAGUUAACUGUAAGUGCUGUAUUUUAAUAAUCUAUCAAAAAUCAAAAUCAUCAGGAUAAUAUUAGGUAUUGAUUUUCAGACAAGAAUUAGAUUACAGUGAUGGUCAAAAGCAUUUAGAUAUUGCUUUGAAAUCUACAGAUAAGGUAUGGCAGUUUCAUUUUAAAGAACAAGAUGUUAAAGUUUGUGAUAAAAUUGUCAUCAGAAAUACUGUCCACUUCAGUAUUUACAUAGGAAAAUAUUGGAGGAUGAAGCUCUACCUACUGCCUCAGAGCAACAACACAAUAAAAAACCAAAAUAUGAACACCAGCAACUAAAACAGGAACCAUUAAAUGAAUAUUACACACAGCAAUAACAGCAUCAAAUAAUGGAAAUAAUGGACCCUACUGCUCAAAUCAAAAACAAAAUUUCAUCAUUACCACUUUAUUGGUUAUAUCAAUAAAAGAAAUUAUUGAGUUUAUGAGUCUAGAUCCUACAAGCAAGCAGAUCUAUCACAUAAUUUAAAAUGAAGAUUUAUCUAUUAUAGUAAUUUAUUCUAAUAAUGAAAAAGAAACUUUGGAUCAAAAAAUAUUUUCUUCUGAUGAGGCUUAUGAAUAUUAAAGUCUGUUGAAGUUUGGCCAUUAUGUGUUGGUAUACAAUUUAUUUAUGAUGUUACAGUAGUUAAACCAUCCGAAUACAAAACAUAUUUAAAAUCCACUAUUCUUAAUGAACCAACUUGAGAGGAAGCUAAGAGAAAGGUUCUAUUGGGUGGACUACAAGAAAAAGGGACAUAUACAUGAGGAUCUGGAAGGGCUAUAACAUUACGUCUCAAGCCAUGGAACAAUAGGAAACGAAAUUCAAAGGAAAAUAUUACAAUACGUGGGAUGCAAAUUAUAGUGCAAAGAAUUGAGAAAAAGAAUUAUUAAAAGUAGUUAUAGUUAUGAUAGUUAAACCAUCCGACUACCAAAUAUAUUUAAAAUCCACUAUUCUGAAUGAAUAGCAACUACCAACUUGGAAGGAAGCUGCGAGAACGAUUCUAUUGGGUGAACUACAAGGAAGACAUGAGCAUCUGGAAGGGCUAUAAAAUUAUAUUAUUAUUUCACGUCCCAAGCCAUGUUGGAAUAGCUGGGAGUGAAAAAGAAGAUAAUACUGCACACGAUUCUUGUCUAGAAGUAGUUGAUACUAAGGUAGUUAAGCCAUCCGACUAUCGAACAUUUAAAAUCCACUAUUCUGAAUGAAUAGCAACUACGAUGGCAAAACGUAAAUAAAUACUUGUACAGUAUAAAAUUAUAUUAUAUUGGCUUAAUUUUUAUACUAAAUAAAAUGUGUUACGUUAUUUUUGA